RNAcentral lists this long non-coding RNA (251 nucleotides) under Musa acuminata (dwarf banana). RNAcentral describes it as "long non-coding RNA (MACU_LNC009694)". The record is from RNAcentral. Lineage: Eukaryota; Viridiplantae; Streptophyta; Magnoliopsida; Zingiberales; Musaceae.
UUCAACGGUAAGUGAUUCUAUCCAAAAGAAGGUUACUAAACAACCUACCAAGGUAAGAAAAAGAAUCUGAGGACGGAGCUCGAGAGUUCAAUUCCAAUUCCCAACCUUACUGUCUCUACUCUAGCUUAUCAAUAAUGGCAACCAACUAAUACAUUAGAAGAGUCAAAAGAAGAGGUGCCCUACCAACCACAAAAAAGGAAUAAUUGAACUAUAUAACAUCUAGCAAGUUAUGUAUUUGGCCCCAUUCAGCU